UUGGUCCUACGGGGGGCAGCAGUGGGGAAUAUUGGGCAAUGGGCGCAAGCCUGACCCAGCAACGCCGCGCGAAGGAAGAAGGCUUUCGGGUUGUAAACUUCUUUUGUCAGGGACGAAGCAAGUGACGGUACCUGACGAAUAAGCCACGGCUAACUACGUGCCAGCAGCCGCGGUAAUACGUAGGUGGCAAGCGUUGUCCGGAUUUACUGGGUGUAAAGGGCGUGUAGCCGGGCUGACAAGUCAGAUGUGAAAUCCGGGGGCUCAACCCCCGAACUGCAUUUGAAACGGUUGGUCUUGAGUAUCGG
Molecule: ribosomal RNA, 305 nt
Filed under: uncultured bacterium
Lineage: Bacteria
Description: bacterial SSU rRNA
Rfam family: Bacterial small subunit ribosomal RNA
Source: RNAcentral